UUGAAUUUCCCGAAAUUUCGAUGGAUUUUCAGAGGUACACUUUAGUGUACAAAUCCGGGUCCGUCAAUUCAUAUUCAUGUGCGCACAUUUCCAUUUCAGAGAGCACACUCCCGCGAACCUCAUCCUUACAGCGGGAUUACCAAUCCAGGCUAAAUCCCCUGUAAUAUAAACUCAUAGAGUAUUGUCGGGAUUACCAGUCCAGGCUAAAUCCCCUGCAACGACAAUUACUCUAAUGAGCUUGGAUCUGAAUUACCAGUCCAGGCUAAAUUCAGACCCUAAUUCGGAUUACCCGUCCGGGAUAAAUCCAUUUUCCACAUAUUCUUCGGGAGGGCUAUAUCAGGAUAGGAUCACCCGUCCGGGCUAGAUCCUUUUUACCGUCAAUUCCUUUUCAGAAAUCCAUCAAAUUUUCCUUCCAUUCAACCGGGAUUUAUUUUCUCUUUUCAUCAAGAAUAUCAAUACUUCAUCAAUUAUCAUACAAUAAACAUCCAACUCAUUUUCACAUCAAUAACAAACAUUUCAAGCAUUUAAGAAUAUAAUUCA
RNAcentral lists this long non-coding RNA (540 nucleotides) under Gossypium raimondii (Peruvian cotton). RNAcentral describes it as "long non-coding RNA (GRAI_LNC008906)". Lineage: Eukaryota; Viridiplantae; Streptophyta; Magnoliopsida; Malvales; Malvaceae. The record is from RNAcentral.